AUGGCAUCGAUAGCUGCCAGGUAGAUUCGUACAAAGUUGCCCGCAAGGUUUUUCUAUCGCACACUCAUCCACAUCUAUUAGAUUAGGAAAAAAAGGUAACACUUAGAUAAUAAAAACGUACUUUUAGAUAAUAAAAAUUAACGAUAUUUUACGUUUUUAAGUUCUGAAAAAUUUCGUCAGAAUUUCUGCUGUAUGAUUGUUUAAUAUUAAAAAAAAGAGUAACAUCUUAGUGAGUUGUGUAUGAAAAAUAGUUAUAUAUUCUUUGUUUUAUUCUUACAUAGCAAUUAGACAACAAUUGAUUUAUUUGAUUUAUUGUACUUUCUGUAUUCCUUUCAUGAAAUCCAAGCCAACACAACAUUUCCUCUGAAAUCCUUAAAAGUGUUGUUUGAUUAAACUACCAGACAAUAACGUAUAAUCAGGUACGAUCGGCCCUGAGCAACAACGUAUGAGCGUCGCCUCGUUAAAGCACAAAGAACAUUCGAUCGAUUCGUUCGUUACGAGUGCCUUCUCGUGCCUGGUAUCGUCAGACGUAAUUAAAUCGACGUAUAUCCCUUGGGACACGUGCAUUUGCCAGGCAAUGUGCAAAUUCCACCAUUCAAGCACGGUGUUGGGCACGUGGCUGAAGAAUAAUUAGAUUGAGAUUAGUCGACUCGUGGAGUUGCGAAUAAUGCCUGGCUGUGUAAGAGCGUCGGUAAAGAAAGAAAUAGAUUAUCGAAUUAACAUUUAAUAUUUUAUAUCAUUUAAUAAUUUCAGAUAAUAUUUUGAAUUUAUUAAUUAAGUUUAAUAUAUUAAAUUAAUCUAUUAAUCAAGUUUACAGCAAUUUUAGCAUAAGUGAUAUAUAUUGGGUUGAUCAAAAAGUCCUUACAGAUUUUUUUAGCAUAAUGUAAACGCUAAACGCUGCACUACUAAGUGUUGCGUUUAAAUUUUGCUAAAAAAUUACAGACUUUUCCGUCAACAAACAUCGAUUUAUUAUACAAUAUUUGAAAAUUUUCAGCUAUUACGUCGAAUACGUACGGUUGUUGCAACCAAAACUCAGAUGGGUUAUUUGCGACCAUCCUGGACAGCAAAAGAAACUGGAAGGCAACUCAGUAUAUACUAAUCUGGAAUAUUUCAUAAAUUUAUUUCUAGAAUUUUAUUUAAAAAUGUACGAAAUGAAUAUAUUACUAAAACCGGAA
Long non-coding RNA from Ooceraea biroi (clonal raider ant), 1175 nucleotides. RefSeq lists it as uncharacterized. NCBI's taxonomy places the organism in Eukaryota, Metazoa, Arthropoda, Insecta, Hymenoptera, Formicidae. The record is from RefSeq and is a predicted model, not a curated record.